This 449-nucleotide ribosomal RNA is filed under the name uncultured bacterium. RNAcentral describes it as "partial 16S ribosomal RNA". It matches the Rfam family "Bacterial small subunit ribosomal RNA", at positions 29 to 523 of the family's 1533-position model. The record is from RNAcentral.
AACGAACGCUGGCGGCAUGCCUAACACAUGCAAGUCGAACGAGACCUUCGGGUCUAGUGGCGCACGGGUGCGUAACGCGUGGGAAUCUACCCUUGGGUUCGGAAUAACAGUUAGAAAUGACUGCUAAUACCGGAUGAUGACGUAAGUCCAAAGAUUUAUCGCCCAAGGAUGAGCCCGCAUAAGAUUAGCUUGUUGGUGGGGUAAUGGCCUACCAAGGCGACGAUCUUUAGCUGGUCUGAGAGGAUGAUCAGCCACACUGGGACUGAGACACGGCCCAGACUCCUACGGGAGGCAGCAGUGGGGAAUAUUGGACGAUGGGCGAAAGCCUGAUCCAGCAAUGCCGCGUGAGUGAUGAAGGCCUUAGGGUUGUAAAGCUCUUUUACCAGGGAAGAUAAUGACAGUACCUGGAGAAUAAGCUCCGGCUAACUCCGUGCCAGCCGCCGCCGUAA